CGGAGAGGGAGCAUGAGAAACGGCUACCACAUCUAAGGAAGGCAGCAGGCGCGUAAAUUACCCAAUCCUGACUCAGGGAGGUAGUGACAAGAAAUAUCAAUAUAAGACUUUUAUGCCUUGUAAUUGGGAUGAGCGAAACAUAAACCGCUUCACGAGUAUCAAUUGGAGGCAAGUCUGGUGCCAGCAGCCGCGGUAAUUCCAACUCCAAUAGCGUAUAUUAAAAUUGUUGCGGUUAAAACGCUCGUAGUUGGAUAUCUGCUAAGGGGUUCCGGUCCUUCCCAGUGAAGAAUACGCGGAACUCUUCUUGGCAUUUAUCCAGGGAAGGUGUUUGCACUUUGUUGUGUGUCACAUGAUCUGAAUUUUUACUUUGAGGAAAUGAGAGUGUUUCAAGCAGGCUUUCGCCGUGAAUAUGAUAGCAUGGAAUAAUAGCACAGGACCCCUUUCCAAAGCUGUUGGUUUUUGGAACGAGGUAAUCAGAAUAAGGAUAGUUGGGGGUAUUCGUAUUUAACUGUCAGAGGUGAAAUUCUUGGAUUUUUUAAAGACGAACUAUUGCGAAGGCAUCUGCCCAGGAUGUUUUUAUUGAUCAAGAACAAAAGUUAGGGGAUCGAAGACGAUCAGAUACCGUCCUAGUCUUAACCUUAAACUAUGCCGGCUGGAGAUUGGAGUUGUCAGAAUUGUGACAUCUUCAGCAUCCUGAGAGAAAUCGAAGUCUUUGGGUUCCGGGGGGAGUAUCAUGGCAAGACUGAAAAUUAAAGGAAGGAACGGAAGGGCCACGACAGGAGUGGAGCCUGCGAUUUAAUUCGACUCAACACGGGGAAACUCAUCAGGUCCAGACAUAGAUAGGCAGGACAGUAUGAUAGUUCUAUUUUAAUUGUAGGGGUGGCGGGGCAUGUCCGAUCUUAGGGAGUGGAGUGAUUGGUUAGGUUAAUUACGUUAACGAACGAGACCUUAACAUAUUAAAUAGAGUCCAGAACUUCGGUUCUCGGGUUACAUAUGAGAGGGACUUUGUGUGCUCAACACAAGGAAGUGCGAGGCAAUAUCAGGUAUGUGAUGACAUUAGAUGUCCUGGGCUGCACGCGCGCUACAGUGAUGAAUUCAAUAAGCACCUAAUCUGAUGCGAAGGGGUAGGGUAACCUAAGCAAAUCACAUCGGGAAGGGGAUAGAUUAUUGCAAAUUUUAGUCCGGAGAGAGGAAAUUAUAGUAAACUCAACUCAUCAGCUUGAGUUGAUUACGUCCCUUCCUUUAGUACACACC
RNAcentral lists this ribosomal RNA (1254 nucleotides) under uncultured eukaryote. Its description in RNAcentral is "SSU rRNA". It matches the Rfam family "Eukaryotic small subunit ribosomal RNA", at positions 384 to 1670 of the family's 1831-position model. The record is from RNAcentral.